RNAcentral lists this long non-coding RNA (493 nucleotides) under Bos taurus (domestic cattle). RNAcentral describes it as "long non-coding RNA NONBTAT026982". The record is from RNAcentral. Lineage: Eukaryota; Metazoa; Chordata; Mammalia; Artiodactyla; Bovidae.
ACUACUUUCAGAAUGCAGAAGUAUUACAUAAAUUUGCCCUCAUAUCUCAGUCCACACUGGCAUUAGAUCUUGCCUCCUUUUGAUUUGCCAUUUUUUCCAGUGCCUUUGAGCUAGCUCUGGUUGUCCAGAGUAUAUCCUCAGGACUUGACCCUUUUAAACAUUUCUUCCCCCAAUCAAAAUGGACCUAAUAUACUGAAGAUGUUAACUAAGGAUUUUGUUCACUGAAACUAUUUAAAAUAACCUGUGUUCAUGGGUAUAUUCAUAAGAUGAUAGUAACACGGACAUUUAAAUCUGGUCUUACCCAAACUGUCUUAACUCAAAAGAAGGCACUAUGAUGGACCAAUACAAGAGAGAAUUCAGGAUAGAAUAGACUUUGAGGACUAAAUCAGAUAAUAUAAAGCUGUACAAAGUCUGGGAUAUUGCAUUUCAAAAUAAGCUUUAUUUUUUAACAAGUUAAUUUACACUUUUUUGGUUAGAAAAGAUGCCAAACUAC